Molecule: ribosomal RNA, 373 nt
Filed under: uncultured organism
Description: partial 16S ribosomal RNA
Rfam family: Bacterial small subunit ribosomal RNA
Source: RNAcentral
GUAGGUGGCAAGCGUUGUCCGGAAUUAUUGGGGCGUAAAGCGCGCGCAGGCGGUUCUUUAAGUCUGAUGUGAAAGCCCACGGGCUCAACCGUGGAGGGUCAUUGGAAACUGGAGAACUUGAGUACAGAAGAGGAAAGCGGAAUUCCACGUGUAGCGGUGAAAUGCGCAGAGAUGUGGGGGAACACCAGUGGCGAAGGCGGCUUUCUGGUCUGUAACUGACGCUGAGGCGCGGAAGCGUGGGGAGCAAACAGGAUUAGAUACCCUGGUAGUCCACGCCGUAAACGAUGAGUGCUAAGUGUUAGGGGGUUUCCGCCCUUAGUGCUGCAGCUAACGCAUUAAGCACUCCGCCUGGGGAGUACGGCCGCAAAGGCUG